UGCCUGUCAGUGUGGUCGUGCCUGUGGCAAACAGGUAAGAACCAUCACGUGAGCAGUUAACACACAGCAGCGGAUGUUUGGUUAUGUCCUGGCUUGCUUUGUGGUAGAUCAUUCCUCUUCCUUACUUUAAAGAUUAGUCAUUACGCUUGAGUAAAUGGUAACCAAAUCCUUACAUUCUCUGUGAUUUCUGUCACGUAAGUCUCCUGUAAGACUCUCUGACUUCAAAUGCAACAGAUGCUUUGAUGGUUCUUGUGGAAAGCUGAAUUUCUGGCAAUUGUUACAGGGGUUGUAGCUGCUGUGGCAUUCUAAGGAAAACAGGGCUGCAGUAACUCCCACUCUCCCACUAGUUUACGAUGGCUGGAGAAUGCUUGAUGUUUGCUUACUUGUUUUCCUGUCAAGUGUCAUUAUGCCUAGUAAGAACUUAUUCUUAUUUCUUCACAGAAUCAUUUAAAAAAAGACUACAGAGCAAGAUUCUGCCAUGGAGGAGGAAGUAAGAUUGAUGUACAGCCAGGUCAAAACGUACUGAAACUCAUACAGGAUUGUUUUGAAAGUUGCAGCAGUGAUCUUACAAUAAACUCUCCAAAUGCAACCCUUUGCUCAGCUCCUGUUGUCAAAAAUAGGAAGAGGACUUCAAUGCAGAGCCAAAGCGUAAGUUAGUUAUGGCAAUGUCACAGUAUAGCUUUGGGUACAGUUUCACUGGGGUACAAAUUUAGUUCUGUAGGAUUUAGUUCUGUAUGAGCAUUGAAGAAGCUCCAUAUGCCACUUGUAACAGUAUAUAGGCUACAAUUUAACCAUCUGUAAUAGUUGUUGAUAAUGGGUUUUUUUCUUAGUUUGUUGUGCUCUAACAGUAAAUAUUCUGUAAUUAGAUUUGUUUAAUAGUUUAUUUUCCAGGUUUUUUUUCUAGUGAAAGCUUUUUCACUAGAAAAAGCUUUUUGUCCAGGACACUUAAAUUUUUUAUGGUCUCAGGUUGGAGCACGCUGCCUUGUUACUGCUGGUGGGUAUGGCUGUCUUGGACUCCAUUGGAGUUGGUUUUGGCCACUUUGCUAGAUAUAUGGACACAGUUCUUAGCUAAAUGGUGAACAGUAGAGUUGAAAGGUGAUGCUUGUACAAAAGCUGGUUAACUCCUGAUAGUUAUCUGUACAAUAACUUUAUAUAUAUGUAUCUUUCUUGAAGGGUGGAAACAAGUUGAAGGCCUUGUUAGUGUGCUGGGAAAAUGAUGCCAAUAAUCUAGUUUGUAUAUUUAAUUUUAUUGUUUUGAUUCUAUUUUUUUUAAAUAGGAUAUUCCGUUAAUGGCAGGGUUGAGAACAGGCAUCCUUUAUAGUGGUGUUUGUUUACUUUAUUUUGAUGUUAGAAUACCAUAUAAUGUCAAAUAAUUUCUUGCAAAACCUCAGCCUGUCUUAAGAAAGGUGAAUUAAAUUGUUUAAAAUAAUUCAUUCUAAUGAAAAGAAUAGCUUGCCUGGAGACUAGCAGGAUGCCUGUUUAAAGCUGCAUAUAGAUUUUUGCUGUACACACUGUUUUUCCUGUUAUUUGAAAUUUAUAGUUACUUCUAGAAAGUCUUACUUGAUAGAAAGUUGAAGUGUUUAGUUAAAAUAGAACUGUGAUUCACAUGAGUGUGAUUUAAGGGAAGGAAAGUAUAUCAUGUUCUGUAGAAAUUUGUAUUCCUAUCAAAAUACAGUUGCUUUAUCAACUA
Long non-coding RNA from Pipra filicauda (Wire-tailed manakin), 1690 nucleotides. RefSeq lists it as uncharacterized. The record is from RefSeq and is a predicted model, not a curated record. The transcript has 3 exons. Lineage: Eukaryota; Metazoa; Chordata; Aves; Passeriformes; Pipridae.